Molecule: ribosomal RNA, 460 nt
Filed under: uncultured bacterium
Lineage: Bacteria
Description: partial 16S ribosomal RNA
Rfam family: Bacterial small subunit ribosomal RNA
Source: RNAcentral
CCUACGGGGGGCUGCAGUGAGGAAUAUUGGUCAAUGGGCGGGAGCCUGAACCAGCCAAGUCGCGUGAGGGAAGACGGUCCUAUGGAUUGUAAACCUCUUUAGGCGGGGAGCAAUGCCGGGCACGCGUGCCCGGAGGGAGAGUACCCGCAGAAUAAGCAUCGGCUAACUCCGUGCCAGCAGCCGCGGUAAUACGGAGGAUGCGAGCGUUAGCCGGAUUUAUGGGGUUUAAAGGGUGCGUAGGCGGAUUUUUAAGUCAGCGGUAAAAUGUCCGGGCUCAACCCGGGCCGGCCGUUGAAACUGGGGAUCUUGAGUGGGCGAGAAGUAUGCGGAAUGCGUGGUGUAGCGGUGAAAUGCAUAGAUAUCACGAAGAACUCCGAUUGCGAAGGCAGCAUACCGGCGCCCGACUGACGCUGAGGCACGAAAGCGUGGGGAUCGAACAGGAUUAGAUACCCCAGUAGUC